UGCAGUCACGGGGGUCUCGCAAGAGAUAACCGGCGAACGGGUGCGUAACACGUGAGCGACCUGCCUUUCUGCGGGGGAUAGCCGGCCCAACGGCCGGGUAAUACCGCAUACGCUCAUUCUCGGGCAUCCGGGGAUGAGGAAACCUCCGGGGCGGAGAGAGGGGCUCGCGGCCUAUCAGCUAGUUGGUGGGGUAACGGCCUACCAAGGCGGCGACGGGUAGCUGGUCUGAGAGGAUGGCCAGCCACAUUGGGACUGAGAGACGGCCCAGACUCCUACGGGAGGCAGCAGUGGGGAAUCUUGCGCAAUGGUCUCACGACUGACGCAGCGACCCCGCGUGUGGGGAGGACGCCCNUCGGGGUGUAAANCCACUGUUGCNCNGGGACGAACCCGCCUUUAUUCGUAAG
This 404-nucleotide ribosomal RNA is filed under the name uncultured bacterium. RNAcentral's name for it is "bacterial SSU rRNA". It matches the Rfam family "Bacterial small subunit ribosomal RNA", at positions 56 to 465 of the family's 1533-position model. The record is from RNAcentral.